This 1461-nucleotide long non-coding RNA is filed under the name Oryctolagus cuniculus (rabbit). RNAcentral's name for it is "lncRNA (ENSOCUG00000030158.1)". The record is from RNAcentral. Lineage: Eukaryota; Metazoa; Chordata; Mammalia; Lagomorpha; Leporidae.
GUGUGUGCAUGUGUGUACCAGGCACAUGUGCAGCCGCACAUGUGUGUUGCAUGUGGGUGUGUGCACCAUGCACAUGAGUACAUGUGUGUGCGUGUGUGUAUGCAUGUAUGUGACUGUGUGUGUGUGUGCAUGUGCCCAUUAGGGCCUGGGGCAAGUUUGCCUCCCAGCCACGCCUGACGAACCCCAGUCUGGAAAACUCUGGAUGUCCACAGAUCCUUCCAAACCAGCACUGGCCCCUUCGAGGGGCUGUGGCCUCAGGCCGGUUUCCACACUGUUCUGGGUCUCGGUUUCCCGUGUGCCAUCCACCUGCCGAUGCGGCACGGGGCGCGGGAGGGAGCAGCAGGCAAUGCCCCCCCUUAUCUCACCCUUACCCACAGACAUGAGGUCAGGGCCGGAGACAGCGGAGGGUCAGGGAGUGGUCAGAGGUCGCUGUCCUUUUGUUGGGGGUGGGGGUAAGCUAUGCAGACCCUGACCAGCCUCCGGGGCUGACAAGACAUGUGGGACCCCGAGAACAAAGGAAGAGGGGUGUCUCGCACCCAGAGCAGUGGGGAGGGGGUCGCCCUACCGUGCUCUGGAUCCCAGGGUCCCACCUGGGAGAUGGCCCCAUGCGGGGACACCUGUGCCAGCCCCAGGCCUGUCUCCGAGGCACUCAGAGUCCACUGAUUAUUUGUAUUUGGGUCCUGACACUUGGGUGCAUGACCCCCAGGCCUGUGUCGGGGGCUGGGCCUUGCACAGGUGUCCCCGUGGGUCUCCAUGUGUGACACGGACACACAGGCGGCAGCUCCUGCUUCGUCUGGCCACACCAGCGGCCCCUUUUCCAAAGGUCCCUGACACCUGAGACCAGCUGACAUCCUACCCCUCCAUAUGGGGUCCUCACCCCUGCCCGCAGCAGUCACGAGUGGGCAGCCAGACCGCCAGCCUCCAGUCCAGUCUGCCCCCACCCCCGGCCAGCCUGCAGGGACCGGGAGGGGGCCCGGGUUGCCCCCUCGAGCCAGGGCCACUGUUUAUCUCUGCCGGUGGAGGCACCCCCUGGAGCCUGUUCCCCUCCUGGGGCGCCAGGCCUGAGGGUCUCCGUCCGGGGUGAGCUGGGGCAGGCGCAGGGUGCCCACUCUAUGGUCUACGCCUCCCCCAGCAUGGGGCCCAGCUGCACACAGAAUGAAAAGCAUUUGCUGGAUUCUCCCAAGUAGAAAGCAGUGGAUGAGAGAGAGGUGUAUGUGGGUGCACACACAGAGAGAUCCACACUGAUAAUACACACACAGAGAUAUACACACACAGGUACACACAUAGACACACACAGAGAUACACAGACAGAGAGAUCCACACUGAUAAUACACACACAGAUAUUUAGAUAGACACACACACAGAUCACACAGGUACGCACACAGCCACACACAGGUAUACAGACACAGAGAUACACACAGAGUGAUCUCCACACUGAUAUACACACACAGAUAUACACAC